CCCGCCCGCCCGCAGCGAGCACAGCUCCGGGACCGCAGCGGGGGAGGGGAGGGGAGGGGAGGGGGCGGCAGCCCUGGCGGACUGCGCAUGCGCUGCGGCUCGUGAGGCGAGGCCGAGCGGUCGCCGCUGCCGCUGGCUCCCGCUCUGCCGCUGGCUUCCGCUGCCGCCCGCAGCGCUGGGGUGGGGGCAGCUCUGCCUGGAGCCUCUCUGCUCCCCCCGUCCGCAGAGGGGCAGUGCGCCAGGGGAGUCCCCAGGAGUGGGGCCGGCACAGCUGAGCCGCGAGCCCCGUCCCCUCCCGCGCCAGGCGCGGCUGGAUCCGGGCUCAGCCCCUUUGUGUCCGGCCGGGCUGCGCCCUCGUCGCAGCAGCAUGGCCUGGGGGGCGCGUCCACACCUGGCAGGGCUGAGAAGAGGCGGGGCGGCGGGGGAGGUUUCUGAGGCUAAACUCUGACUGGGUCUGGCAGACUCUCGUGUUUCUUAAGUGCCUUUGAAUUGGGAUUUGGGUUGCCCUAGAUCCAGCUUGCCCCCAGGUUGUUUUUUUGAGGCCCCAAAUUAGUAGGAUUCAGCUGUUUCCUCUGCAUUUCAGGCUGUAGUUCUGUUCCCUCUGGGUGCUCUAGACCUGCAAUUAAUGCAAAGCAAUAAACUCCGGAGCAGUUUGAGCUGGAGUAAACUACUCCUGGGUAUAGUGUCUGCAUGUGUGCCCAGGACAGCAGCACAUUGAGGCAUGGCAGAGCAGGCCCACGCUAGCAGGGUGCUGAAGGGCAUCAGCUCUGGGUUCCUGAGGGGUGCUGGAAGUGCAGAGCCUCUGGCAGGGUGACAGGCAGCAGCCUGGCCCCCAGCAAGCUGGCCUGGCAGGGUGCAGUUCUUGCCCCUGGUUACAUGUGCUUAAUCAGAGUGAAUUACCCUGGUGUAAGAUAGUACAUUCCUGGAUAGUACUAUUUUAGAACAGCAUAAAUUAGUUUACUGCAGCCUGCUACCCUCACACCUGUAGACGGUGAUGCUUUACUCCACAGCUAAUUACUCUACCCUGCACUAAAGAGCUUGUGUAGAGGCAGGCAGUGGGCACAGCUACAUGAGACGCUGGCUGUGCAGUAGUCAAAUCAUACUGCACAGUAGCACAUCACAGUGCCAACAAUGCUAAUAUGCUACAGUGCAGUAUUAUUAGGCUACUGCACAGUAGCAUCACAGAUGUUCACUGGUACUACUACACAGUAACUCCCAUUGCUGCACAUUUAGGGCACUUUUAAGCAUGCAUGCAUCGCAACGCUGGGCAAGCGCCUAGCGCUGUGACGCAUACAAUUGUAUGAGCAGCAAAAUGUGCGUCAGCAUUGGGAAAAGCAGCAGAUCUCUGGCAUAUCACUGGAAAAAAAGGAUGUGUAUAAAUGCUCUUAUUUAGUACUUGAUUAUAUGAGUACUAAAUAAAUGCGCAGUAACCACUGCACAGUAGCAUCUCAUGUAGACAUGCCUACCAAAUAGCAAACUAGUACUGAGGUUGAGGAGCUGUGCUCCCCUGGGGGAAAUGAAUGCUUGUUAAGUUCAACUCCUUUUUUCUUCUGCAAAUAUCACAAAAGGGUCUAUACCUGCUGUAAACAUAAUAUGCAUAAAGCGACAGCAAGGUUGUGGUGGGUUUUUGACUGACAGGAUCGUAGUCCUCACAGUGCUCUGAGAGGUGCAUGCACAACUAUCCUAAUUAAUAAUAGCUUUUCCCUUGGUACCGGUCUGAAAAAAAUGUAUCCUUUUGUUCACUUAUUGCUCUGAGCCUCAGCCACUAACUCCCAAACUUAAUUUUAUGUUCUCCAGGAAUUCCAUUGAAUGCAGUAGAACUAUUCAUGAGUUAAGCUGUGUACAGAUAAAUGAGCUUCGUACCUGGGGAGAAAACAUAAUCAUUGUCGUCAUCAUCAAAAGCAAACCAAGUCUACCAAAUGGAACCAUAUUUUCUGGACAUCUGCCAUACAUCUGCAAAAAUACCUUUUUAUUGAAUAUCCUGGACACAACUGCAGAAGGUUCGUUCCUUCCUUACCCUUUCCCAAGUUUGUUCCUCAUGCGGUCGCUUAAAUUCAUUGAUGAAUGCAUGUAGACCUGUGCUGAAGCAAGUCUACAAGGUGGACUCCUGGGCAAGUCUGGAAUGUUUGAAAAUCUAUAGGAGCUUUCAUUGGUGGCCAGUAGUUCUAAUGGCCCUUCCCCAUGGCCACAUUGAAAUUUCACGUGACAGAAAACUACUGCUGUUCUCAUUUCAACAUGCUUUAGUUAUAUUUGAAUAAUCUGUAGAAAGAAGGAAAUAUUUUCUGUAUAGAACAUGCAUGUCUAUUCCAUAUAAAAUAUGUUAUAUCACAUUUAUUGCUGUUGUCAGUUCUGGUCUUUCUUUUUAAUGAUCUGUUCCAGCCAUGGGAAUUAACUAGUUAAUUAACUAGUUAAAAAAUUAAAGAAAUGGCUAAUUUUUAACUGUAACUAGUUAAAUUUUUCAGCUGUCAACUUUUAACUUUAACUUGUUAAAAAAAAGGUUAACUUUAACUUUUUUUAAAGUAUAAGUUAAAAGUUAAAAAAAUUGAAAUCUGGCUUUCCCAGAGUUUUUUCUGACAGCUACUCCUAGGACUUAAAUGGAAUGAUAGUUCUUUAUUGAAACUCUAGGACUUCUUGUUUGAGAGAGAGAGAGAGAGAGUAGGAUGCCUUCCUAUGAAAUAUGGUCUCUUAAGAACUGUAAGUCUCAGAGUUCCUUAGUUCAUGCUGGCAUUUUUCUGUGCAUUUGCAGAAGUCAACAGGGCAGCCAGUUGGCUGCAGGAGGGAACAAGCACAAGCAAGCAGAGACAUUGAUCCCAGUAAGAGUGGGAGCGAAUAGUGAGGGUGAAGCAGAUGAUGACUUUUUUUAGUUUUAAUGAAGAUUAGAACCAGCAGCCCAGGGCCCAAGAAGUUGAGCAUUACUUCUCAUCUGUGAGAAACUUAUCUGAGAUGUCACCUACUAUGAAAAAACUACUCAUCUGUUAUAACACAAGCAUUCCCUCAUCUACCCCUGUAGAGUGAUUGUUUAGUAGUGGGGGCUUAGUUUUGCAAGACAGAAAAGGAAAAUUGUCAGAUGUACGUUUUGAAGCUUUUGCUGAAGUUCAAUAAGCAUGUUUAAACAGUUUUGCUAUGCAACUGAACAUUCUUUUUCUCAUUUGAGCCUAAUUUUGAUUUUCAGACACUUUCAUUAUUUCUAAUUCAGAUGUAUUUCAUACCCUUUUGUUACCUUUUGAGCAAUAAAAAUUGUAGCAACAGA
This is a long non-coding RNA of Alligator mississippiensis (American alligator), 3250 nucleotides long. RefSeq lists it as uncharacterized. The transcript is spliced from 2 exons. NCBI's taxonomy places the organism in Eukaryota, Metazoa, Chordata, Crocodylia, Alligatoridae. The record is from RefSeq and is a predicted model, not a curated record.